GAUACGCGUCAGGGAGGAUGGACGGGAGGAAGAGGGCAGGAGGGGCUGAAAAAGCCAGGUUGAAAAAAAGAAAGGCAUUGGAGGAGGAUGCUGCCAAAUGUGCCAAGCUUCCCGAUUUAUUUUCAAGAGGACAAACACAAGUGGCAACUGCUUCGGAGCAGCAGAUAAGAGUCUCCUGCUGAAAAUGAUGAGCCCGACAUUUGCAAUGAGGAGGCCAUGACUUCAGGGACAUGUAGAGAGGAUAACAGAGGAAACUAUAUGAAUUAAAGUUAUAUAUUCUAAGAAAGAGCAGUACAGUACUUGAUGAACCAAUAUGCAUUGUUUGCUCAGAAGUGGGUGUAGUAAAGGAGUAAAUCACCACUAUAUAAUACUCAUGCAGAAAAAUGAUAAUGACCAUGACUAUGACGGCCCCCAUGAGGUCUCACUCCAACAAAUCUGGCCUACUGCCUCAUCUGAGUCUGACACCCCUGCUACGCCCUUCUGCCUUUUUUAAUGUUAUGCAUAUUUUUUGUUAACUUCUCAUCUUAAGUGGAUUAUUAUUGUUGUAUUUAACCGUUACAUUAUUUGUUGGACCAUGGUAUUAAUAAAAGAACUACAGGAUA
Pseudoliparis swirei is the source of this 602-nucleotide long non-coding RNA. RefSeq lists it as uncharacterized. The transcript is spliced from 2 exons. The record is from RefSeq and is a predicted model, not a curated record. Lineage: Eukaryota; Metazoa; Chordata; Actinopteri; Perciformes; Liparidae.